Molecule: long non-coding RNA, 364 nt
Organism: Gossypium raimondii (Peruvian cotton)
Lineage: Eukaryota; Viridiplantae; Streptophyta; Magnoliopsida; Malvales; Malvaceae
Exons: 3
Source: RefSeq, a predicted model, not a curated record
CUUCUCCAUAAGUUGCUGUCAAAUUUGAAGAGUCACCAUAGCUAGGGUUUCUUCACUUUCUCAAGCUCAUAAUCAAGAAAGACGAGAAAUCAACCUUAAUCGGGGAAAAGAGAAGAUUGAGGAUUAAAUUGCAAAAUCUUUACAUUUUGUAUCGAGUGAUUUUAAUCAACUCGGGAAUUGGACGGAGUCAUAUCAUCAUCAUCCUCACUAUCAUCAUCAACUUUUGGGUAUUUUGCAAUCAAUACUUUUGAAAAAUGGCAUGUAUAGAUGACUUAAUGUAAUGUAGUAUAAACUUAUAUAUAUGUAUAAAAUAUAGUUUGGUUUAAAAUGUUGGUAUCUAUAAUUGAUGAAUUAUUUCCUUAAA